AUGUGAUCGUCUCUCGCAUAUCAAUAAGCGGAGGAAAAGAAACUAACAAGGAUUCCCCUAGUAACGGCGAGUGAAGCGGGAAGAGCUCAAAUUUGAAAUCUUAAAGGGUUUCCCUUUACGAAUUGUAGUUUAAAGAAGUGUUUUCUGUUGAGGUUUUGGUAAAAGUUCUUUGGAAUAGGACAUCAUAGAGGGUGAGAAUCCCGUAUUUGACCUUUACUUUCAACUUUGUGAUACACUUUCAAAGAGUCGGAUUGUUUGGGAAUGCAGUCCAAAAUGGGUGGUAAAUUUCAUCUAAAGCUAAAUAUUGGCGAGAGACCGAUAGCGAACAAGUACCGUGAGGGAAAGAUGAAAAGAACUUUGAAAAGAGAGUUAAACAGUACGUGAAAUUGUCAAAAGGGAAGCGUUUGACACCAGUGUUGUUUUUCUGAAAAUCAAUUAAAGAACUGUUUAUGCUAAGUUGUUUAGACUUUAUCAGCUAACUGUUUAGUUUUGAGCUUUUCUUUAAUGCACUUUUCAGUUAACAAGUCAACAUCAAUUUCUUUUGCUGUAAAAAAGCUUGAGGAAGGUGGCUUGAGAUUCGUCCUUAAGUGUUUAUAGCCUCUUGCCUAUGCAGUCGGAGAGAUUGAGGUCUGCAGCGUAGAUCCUUCGGGGCUAAAUGCAUUUGUGCUAAGUUAUAGCAUUUUAUAGACAACUUGUUGACUAUGAUUUGUCUUGUAGCUUACUCGCUUAUGUUAUUUUACCUACGCUUAGGAUGUUGAGUCAUCACACAUCUCU
Molecule: ribosomal RNA, 774 nt
Filed under: uncultured Neocallimastigales
Lineage: Eukaryota; Fungi; Neocallimastigomycota; Neocallimastigomycetes; Neocallimastigales
Description: partial large subunit ribosomal RNA
Rfam family: Eukaryotic large subunit ribosomal RNA
Source: RNAcentral